Molecule: ribosomal RNA, 429 nt
Filed under: bacterium
Lineage: Bacteria
Description: partial 16S ribosomal RNA
Rfam family: Bacterial small subunit ribosomal RNA
Source: RNAcentral
UAGGGAAUCUUCCACAAUGGACGCAAGUCUGAUGGAGCAACGCCGCGUGAGUGAAGAAGGUUUUCGGAUCGUAAAGCUCUGUUGUUGGUGAAGAAUGAUAGAGGUAGUAACUGGCCUUUAUUUGACGGUAAUCAACCAGAAAGUCACGGCUAACUACGUGCCAGCAGCCGCGGUAAUACGUAGGUGGCAAGCGUUGUCCGGAUUUAUUGGGCGUAAAGCGAGCGCAGGCGGAAGAAUAAGUCUGAUGUGAAAGCCCUCGGCUUAACCGAGGAACUGCAUCGGAAACUGUUUUUCUUGAGUGCAGAAGAGGAGAGUGGAAUUCCAUGUGUAGCGGUGGAAUGCGUAGAUAUAUGGAAGAACACAAGUGGCGAAGGCGACUCUCUGGUCUGCAACUGACGCUGAGGCUCGAAAGCAUGGGUAGCGAACAGG